RNAcentral lists this long non-coding RNA (484 nucleotides) under Patiria miniata (bat star). RNAcentral describes it as "uncharacterized LOC119737208". The record is from RNAcentral. Lineage: Eukaryota; Metazoa; Echinodermata; Asteroidea; Valvatida; Asterinidae.
UCAAUCCGAUUGCUUUAUUCUCAGUCUGUGACAUCAAUAAUCAAUGGCCGUACCAGUGCCCUCCCGACUCGAUCUGUGUGCCAGCACCCACUCCCACGGGGGGCAAGUGCGCGGCUUUUAAGAAGAGAAUGUCAAAUGUUGAAGCCGACGAGUUUGGUGUCAAACAAGAUCUCUGUGACAUCAAUAAUCAAUGGCCGUACCAGUGCCCUCCCGGCUGGCUCUGUGUGCCAGCACCCACUCCCACGGGGGGCGAGUGCAUACGUUUUAAGAAGAGAAUGGCAAAUGUUGAAGAGUCCUAAAUGCCAACAGCCUCGGGAUGGUGAAGUCGCAAUUGAUUAAUUAUAACGGUGAAGGGUUUAAGUUGUGUUGUCUUUGCCUUGUUCGAGUUAAAUGAGACUUUUUAAAUUAACAUGUAUUUGAAAUUCCUCCCAAAGGAAGAAACUGUUGACAAAGCUAUACUACCAUGAGUAAAUGACACAUUGUC